UGUAUAGCUCAGUGGUAGAGCACUUGCCUAGUAUGUGCAAGGCCCUGGGCUCCAUCCCCAGCAUUACAA
Molecule: transfer RNA, 69 nt
Filed under: Marmota monax (woodchuck)
Lineage: Eukaryota; Metazoa; Chordata; Mammalia; Rodentia; Sciuridae
Description: tRNA.Thr
Source: RNAcentral